Molecule: ribosomal RNA, 833 nt
Filed under: uncultured bacterium
Lineage: Bacteria
Description: bacterial SSU rRNA
Rfam family: Bacterial small subunit ribosomal RNA
Source: RNAcentral
GCUUAACACAUGCAAGUCGAACGAUGAUCCCCAGCUUGCUGGGGGGAUUAAUGGCGAACGGGUGACUAACACGUGAGUAACCAUGCCCUUAACUCUGGGAUAAGCCUGGGAAACUGGGUCUAAUACCGGAUAUAACUCCUCAUCCCAUGGUGGGGGGUGGAAAACUUUUUGUGGUUUUGGAUGGACUCGCGGCCUAUCAGCUUGUUGGUGAGGUAAUGACUCACCAAGGCGACGACGGGUAGCUGGCUUGAGAGGGUGACCGGCCACUACUGGGACUGAGACACGGCCCAGACUCCUACGGUAGGCAGCAGUGGGGAAUAUUGCACAAUGGGCGCAAGCCUGAUGCAGUGACGCCGCCUGAGGGAUGACGGCAUUCGGGUUGUAAACCUCUUUCAGUAGGGAAGAAGCGAAAGUGACGGUACUUGCAGAAGAAGCACCGGCUAAUUACGUGCCAGCAGCCGCGGUAAUAAGUAGGGCGCGAGCGUUAUCCGGAAUUAUUGGGCGUAAAGAGCUGGUAGGCGGUUUGUCGCGUCGUCCGUGAAAGUCUGGGGCUCAACUCCGGAUGUGCGGCGGGUACGGGCAGACAAGAGUGAUGUAGGGGAGACUGGAAUUCCUGGUGUAGCGGUGAAAUGCGCAGAUAUCAGGAGGAACACCGAUGGCGAAGGCAGGUCUUUGGGCAUUAACUGACGAUGAGGAGCGAAAGCAUGGGGAGCGAACAGGAUUAGAUACCAUGGUAGUCCAUCCCGUAAACGUUGGGCACUAGGUGUGGGGGACAUUCCACGUUUUCCGCGCCGUAGCUAACGCAUUAAGUUCCCCGCCUGGGGAGUACGGCC